CCACACUUUAGCCCGUCUUCAACGCAUAUUAUGCAAAUCCCCCCUCUUUCAGAUUUUCAAACCCUCAACUCCCCCUUAUCCCAAAAACGUUGAUUCUUCUUCUUCUUCUCCAACUCACUGUGGCAAAAUUCCAUCACCGCCGCCACCUCUCUGACCGCCGAAAACCGGAAACCCGUACUCUUCCAUCCAUUCCAAGUUGCUUCAAGAUUGAUUGAGUUGUGGCCUUGGAAAGCCCUAUUAUCACUAUAUAUUUGCGUCUCUCCGAUUUUUUUACAAAUUUGCAUUUGUUAUUCCUUUAUCUUCAAUGACUAAGUCCAAGUAGGUUUCCAGGAUCAUCCCUCCAUCCAUUUUUAUGCUUGCAUUGUCCUGAUUUCACUAGAUUGUAUGAUUGGGUGAACCCUAAUUUUUUAAUUUUGGGAGUUUUAUGAAUUGAUUGUGUAAUUUUGAAAUUAGGUAUGGUAGGGUCUUAACAUAUGAUUCGCCCCUUGACUGGGAUGAGUUUUUCUAUUUGAAAAAUUGGCAUGAUGACUGAAAUUUCACUUUGAAUGAUGAAUCGAGACUUAGGCUAGUUGUUUGAUGAAUUGUGACUUGCUUAUGACUACUAAUCUUUCUGGAAUUUGCAAUCAAAAUUUGUGACUUGAAACUGUGAGUUAGGAUAGUAAAAUAAGUGUGGGCUGGUCUUUGUGUCCUUGUGUUAUGAACUAUUUUUUGUUGCAGAGAGCGUGGACGUCUUCUCACUGCGGUUCCUCUAGUAGAACCAAACAUCCAUCUUUAGAGCCACCAAGCUACGGUUAUUUGUCUUCUGAAGAGAAUACACCUUUUCCAGCACAUGUUCCUUGCCAGAUGCAUGCAGUGGACGUGCACCAGUAUUUCACUACUAUGGAUGAUAGGUCAUAGAUCAGGUAUUGGGACAACCACCAUUUUCCCGCCGCUCCAACAGUUGCCCUCGACCUAGAAAGCAUUCACAAAAUGAACGCAGAUUGGGAGGAUAUGGUGGAACUUCAGCUCCACCAAGGAGGCCUCUUCUUCACUUACACAGAUCAAAACCAGCCUAAUCUGCUAGAACUUCAAGAGUUUUGGAGCUCCUUCAGCUUCCGGAAUUGUAAAGGAUUACAAGAACAGAAUGUGCAUCUCUUAUCGUCAUGGGGCACCAGUUCAACAAAAUGCUCAAUGAGUUCCAUGACUCCCUGGGUUUCUCUAUGGGUCAUCCACUCUCUCUCGCCCAAACAGAGAGGGUGACAACCAUGCCAUUAUCCGAGAUGAGGUCAUAAAGCUGUGAAGGGAAAUUACCAACAACCUCGACCCCACCGUCAUCUUUAACACGUCGGAGUCCUCUUACACGCACAUCCUCGACCUGAUGGCUUGCUUUUUCCACAUGUUUUGGCAUUAUGGUCUCGCCUAAAGGGACAAGGAAGAACGCGAUGCACACCACGUCCUUAAGGAAGAGCUCAUCUUCCUUCACGAGAUUAGGAAGCAUAAACCCAUCCACAUCAGUUGGGUUGUCGCGAUGUUCUUCCACAGUCAUCAGAGUGGGAAGAUGGCGGCACUACUAGGCAGUUUUUGUUUCAUAGCUGAUCCAACAAAGGGUUUUCCAGAAUAGGUGGGAUGGGGUACCUCAUCCUCCUACACCAGCGAAAUAGUGGAUGGGAGCCAACAAUCUUUGGCGGAUGGAUAUUGAUCUCGACCUUCCAUUCCUCGAUCCCGAGACUAUCCAAGCUCGCCAUGCACGCUAUGGCGCUCAGUAGGGAUAGGCAUCACGAUGGGGUCGUGGUAAAGGCCACAGUCUUGAAGGAGACCAGCAGGAAGUAGCUGCCGCUCAGGUCGAGGGGGUACGAAUCCAGACACCAAGAGGCACCAAAAAUAGCCUUCGUUAUAUAUGAAAAGGGAUUGUAAUUUAAAUCCACGAUAUCAGGCAAUUUUCCAUAGUAUGGCAUUGAUCCUUGAAUCAGACGGUUGUCUGAGGUGCUUGAAAAACUCCGAGUGCCCAUAUCAGCGAAAACUCCACUAUUUUGUGUUGUCAUCAUCUUUUAGCGGUAAAGUGUGCGAAAUCUAAACCCGUUCAUGUCAAAUGUUGUAUAUCUCACUAAUUCAAUUAACGGUCCUUGAGCAAGCAGUUGUAGAUCUUUGGAGUGCGUGGUAACUUCAUCAUUGAUGAUAUGAAAUAACUCUACUUUGCUCGAUUGCAGUGUAAUCAAUACAAAC
RNAcentral lists this long non-coding RNA (2202 nucleotides) under Linum usitatissimum (flax). RNAcentral's name for it is "long non-coding RNA (LUSI_LNC007118)". The record is from RNAcentral. Lineage: Eukaryota; Viridiplantae; Streptophyta; Magnoliopsida; Malpighiales; Linaceae.